This 411-nucleotide non-coding RNA is filed under the name Leptosomus discolor (cuckoo roller). Its description in RNAcentral is "Eukaryotic large subunit ribosomal RNA". It matches the Rfam family "Eukaryotic large subunit ribosomal RNA", at positions 2425 to 2805 of the family's 3401-position model. Lineage: Eukaryota; Metazoa; Chordata; Aves; Leptosomiformes; Leptosomidae. The record is from Rfam by way of RNAcentral.
ACUCUAGUCUGACGCUGUGAAGAGACAUCAGAGGUGCAGAAUAAACGGGAAGCCCUGCAGUUGUGCGACUCAGGCCAUGGUCCAGUUGCCAGUGAAAUACUACUGAUCAUUUUUUCCACUUAGGCAGUAAGGUGUGCGUGUGUGAGGUGAGCCCCAAAGCACUCUCACUUCUGAUGCCAAGUGCCUGGCAAGACCUGCUUCAGGGCCAGUGUCAGGUGGGGAGUUUGACGGGCGCAGUACAUCUGCCAAACCACAACACAGGUGGCCCAAGGCGAGCUCAGGGAGGACAGGAAACUCCUGCAGAGCAGAAGAUCAAGGCUUGAUCUUGAUUUUCAGUAUAAAUAUUAUCCAGGACCUCACACUCCUCCUCACUUUUUGGGUUUUAAGCAAGCAUCCAGGAGACAGUAGAUG